UUUAAUGUCAAAAUUAAAAAGGAAUAAUGAUUAAUUAAGGAAUAAAAUAUCACAAAGUAAACUUCAAAGGUGAAUUUCAACCUGUGAGUGAUGUGAAUGAUUCCUUUGAAGGUCCUGGCUGUUUCUGCUCUCAGUCAUCCUUGGGGAAAAAGGUGAGUUUUGAAUUUGGAGAACGAAACUGCCAUUUUCACUAUCUGGACCAGAGGAUUUAGGAUAUAAUUACUAUGGGAUAAAGUGGCCUAGUGAGUCUGAUCAAUGGUAGUGGAAAGAAAAGUACAAGAUGAAUUGAUCAUGUUGUUAUAUGGAGUUAUUUGAGAGCGAGGUAGGGACUCUAAAGUUGGCUCUAGGGUUUGUGAACACUAAGGAGCCAACAGCAGAGAAAGAGUGACUUAUU
RNAcentral lists this long non-coding RNA (394 nucleotides) under Callithrix jacchus (white-tufted-ear marmoset). Its description in RNAcentral is "lncRNA (ENSCJAG00000079303.1)". The record is from RNAcentral. Lineage: Eukaryota; Metazoa; Chordata; Mammalia; Primates; Cebidae.